This 1868-nucleotide small RNA is filed under the name Pan troglodytes (chimpanzee). Its description in RNAcentral is "retained intron". The record is from RNAcentral. Lineage: Eukaryota; Metazoa; Chordata; Mammalia; Primates; Hominidae.
AGUGGGCAGGAGGCCGGAGAGAAAGCCGCAGCUUCCUUCCACCUCGCGCCGGGCCCGCGGCCGCGCACGGGGACCGCUCCGAGUUCCUCCCGGCGGGAACCCCCCGCCCCAGAACUUUGGUCUCGUCCCACCCACCCCCGCCCGCGCCAUGGUCUCGCCCUAGGGAGCCUCGAUAACUCUACGCUCGGCCUCGAUCGACUCGCUCCGGCUCCCCUCGCCGUCCUGGACACGGCGGAGUGCGGAGCCGCCCGUAAGCUCUAGGGCCCGUGCAGGCCACACCAUGAACACCUCCCCAGGCACGGUGGGCAGUGACCCGGUCAUCCUGGCCACUGCAGGCUACGACCACACCGUGCGCUUCUGGCAGGCCCACAGCGGCAUCUGCACCCGGACGGUGCAGCACCAGGACUCCCAGGUGAAUGCCUUGGAGAUCACACCGGACCGCAGCAUGAUUGCUGCUGCAGGUAUCUGUGACCCUUGAUCUCUAAACUCCUGAGCUCUGGUGGGUCGACCUGAGCACAGCCAAGCUUCAGUUCAGCCUGUGUCCCUAGGUUACCAGCACAUCCGCAUGUAUGAUCUCAACUCCAAUAACCCUAACCCCAUCAUCAGCUACGACGGCGUCAACAAGAACAUCGCGUCUGUGGGCUUCCACGAAGACGGCCGCUGGAUGUACACGGGCGGCGAGGACUGCACAGCCAGGAUCUGGGACCUCAGGUCCCGGAACCUGCAGUGCCAGCGGAUCUUCCAGGUGAACGCACCCAUUAACUGCGUGUGCCUGCACCCCAACCAGGCAGAGCUCAUCGUGGGUGACCAGAGCGGGGCUAUCCACAUCUGGGACUUGAAAACAGACCACAACGAGCAGCUGAUCCCUGAGCCCGAGGUCUCCAUCACGUCCGCCCACAUCGAUCCCGACGCCAGCUACAUGGCAGCUGUCAAUAGCACUGGAAACUGCUAUGUCUGGAAUCUGACGGGGGGCAUUGGUGACGAGGUGACCCAGCUCAUCCCCAAGACCAAGAUCCCUGCCCACACGCGCUACGCCCUGCAGUGUCGCUUCAGCCCCGACUCCACGCUCCUCGCCACCUGCUCGGCUGAUCAGACGUGCAAGAUCUGGAGGACGUCCAACUUCUCCCUGAUGACGGAGCUGAGCAUCAAGAGCGGCAACCCCGGGGAGUCCUCCCGCGGCUGGAUGUGGGGCUGCGCCUUCUCGGGGGACUCCCAGUACAUCGUCACUGCUUCCUCGGACAACCUGGCCCGGCUCUGGUGUGUGGAGACUGGAGAGAUCAAGAGAGAGUAUGGCGGCCACCAGAAGGCUGUUGUCUGCCUGGCCUUCAAUGACAGUGUGCUGGGCUAGCCUGUGACCCCUCGGGACUGCCUGGUGCAGGUGGUGGCAGCUGGAGGGACCCAUGCAGCACCCAGGUCAGAGCAGACCCUCCCCUGCCGGCCUGCGCCAGCUGGACCUGAUGGCCCCCUGUGGUGCCUUGACCUGCUGGGCCAGGCUGCCCUGGGACUCUCAGCCCCCAGUUGCUUAUCCAGAUGUGACAGAGCUCGACCCAAGCCAGGCUGCACACUCCUGGACUGGGCUAGCCUGCACUGCCUGGGAAAGUCGGCCGAGGGCCCAAAGCUGCUGAGGGGUCUGAGGCUGGUGCCCACCCCCAAGCUAGUGCGUUCUCUGCCCCUCCCUGCCCGCGUUUCAGGGCCUCGGUCCAUAGAGAACACCACCACCAUGGCCAGGUGGAAGGGUUUAUUAGUCCCUGCCGGCAGCUGUCCUCCCUGGUGCAGGUGGCCUGGCCAGCCCACUGGAUUGGGGACGGACGGGCCAGGCUGGGCCAGGUCGGGGGCUCAGUCUGGGAGGUAAUAAAAGCAGACCGACA